CCUACGGGAGGCAGCAGUGGGGAAUAUUGCACAAUGGGGGAAACCCUGAUGCAGCGACGCCGCGUGAGUGAAGAAGUAAUUCGUUAUGUAAAGCUCUAUCAGCAGGGAAGAAAAUGACGGUACCUGAGUAAGAAGCCCCGGCUAACUACGUGACAGCAGCCGCGGUAAUCCGUAGGGGGCCAGCGGUAUCCGGAUUUACUGGGUGUAAAGGGAGCGUAGACGGCAGUGCAAGUAUGGAGUGAAAGGCGGGGGCUCAACCCCCGGACUGCUCUGGAAACUGUACGGCUGGAGUGCAGGAGAGGUAAGUGGAAUUCCUAGUGUAGCGGUGAAAUGCGUAGAUAUUAGGAGGAACACCAGUGGCGAAGGCGGCUUACUGGACUGUAACUGACGUUGAGGCUCGAAAGCGUGGGGAGCAAACAGGAUUAGAUACCCGGGUAGUC
RNAcentral lists this ribosomal RNA (440 nucleotides) under uncultured bacterium. RNAcentral describes it as "partial 16S ribosomal RNA". It matches the Rfam family "Bacterial small subunit ribosomal RNA", at positions 338 to 795 of the family's 1533-position model. The record is from RNAcentral.